UUUCCUAGAAAGAUAUUUCGUUUCAUGCUUAUUGUUAAACUUCAAAACUAAAAUUGUUGGACGGUCUAGUUUUUCCAGAAGAUCUUGUCUCAAUAAUUUCUCUCUUUUUUAUGUUUAACAAAUAUUCAUGCUAAACGAAAUGAUGAUUUUGAAAACAUCUGGAUAUUGUCAAAGUUUUUCUAGCUUACUAAACGAUGUGAAUUUUAGGUGUGCCCCCCUUACUCCUAGAUCCCCUUGAAUUG
RNAcentral lists this long non-coding RNA (242 nucleotides) under Vigna radiata. RNAcentral describes it as "long non-coding RNA (VRAD_LNC012487)". The record is from RNAcentral. Lineage: Eukaryota; Viridiplantae; Streptophyta; Magnoliopsida; Fabales; Fabaceae.